AAUCAACGCUGGCGGCGUGCCUAACACAUGCAAGUCGAACGCGAAAGCCCUUUCGGGGGUAAGUAGAGUGGCGUCCGGGUGAGUAACACGUAGGUAAUCUACCUUCGGGUGGGGAAUAACUCGCCGAAAGGCGAGCUAAUACCGCAUAAUGCAGCGGCACCUAAUGGUGAUUAGUUGUUAAAGCGGGGGAGUCGUAAGACCUCGCGCCUGAAGAGGAGCCUGCGGCAGAUUAGCUAGNGGUGAGGUAAUGGCUCACCAAGGCUUCGAUCUGUAGCUGGUCUGAGAGGACGGCCAGCCACACUGGCACUGACACACGGGCCAGACUCCUACGGGAGGCAGCAGUGGGGAA
RNAcentral lists this ribosomal RNA (349 nucleotides) under uncultured bacterium. RNAcentral describes it as "bacterial SSU rRNA". It matches the Rfam family "Bacterial small subunit ribosomal RNA", at positions 32 to 361 of the family's 1533-position model. The record is from RNAcentral.